GGUGAUAUAACAAGGAACCCAUGCUAUCACAUGGAAGCAUCUGCACCUGCAACUAGCAACGCUAUCGACAGGGUUAAGCAAGCAGCAACAUAGCCAAUCAGUGGUUUGCUAGGUCGAACAGGUUGAAGGUAAUCAUGGCAUUGUUGAGAGGCUGAAUUUUAACAGGUGGUAGGCAACGAGACGUAAACGAUAGAAGCGAUAAAACUAGCAUGGCGAUGAUAGUAAUGGUAUCUGGGGAAAUGAUCAUCUUGCCUGAGAUCCCGCUUGGAAGAAGAAUGCCACCGUGAAGCAGACGAACCGACGUAGUCGAACGGGUCCUC
This 320-nucleotide long non-coding RNA is filed under the name Hordeum vulgare. RNAcentral describes it as "long non-coding RNA (HVUL_LNC018419)". Lineage: Eukaryota; Viridiplantae; Streptophyta; Magnoliopsida; Poales; Poaceae. The record is from RNAcentral.